This 492-nucleotide ribosomal RNA is filed under the name uncultured bacterium. RNAcentral's name for it is "partial 16S ribosomal RNA". It matches the Rfam family "Bacterial small subunit ribosomal RNA", at positions 29 to 507 of the family's 1533-position model. The record is from RNAcentral.
AGUGAACGCUGGCGGUAGGCCUAACACAUGCACGUCGAACGGCAGCACAGUAAGAGCUUGCUCUUACGGGUGGCGAGUGGCGGACGGGUGAGGAAUACAUCGGAAUCUACUUUUUCGUGGGGGAUAACGUAGGGAAACUUACGCUAAUACCGCAUACGACCUACGGGUGAAAGCAGGGGAUCUUCGGACCUUGCGCGAUUGAAUGAGCCGAUGUCGGAUUAGCUAGUUGGCGGGGUAAAGGCCCACCAAGGCGACGAUCCGUAGCUGGUCUGAGAGGAUGAUCAGCCACACUGGAACUGAAACACGGUCCAGACUCCUACGGGAGGCAGCAGUGGGGAAUAUUGGACAAUGGGCGCAAGCCUGAUCCAGCCAUACCGCGUGGGUGAAAAAGGCCUUCGGGUUGUAAAGCCCUUUUGUUGGGGAAGAAAAGCAGCAGGUUAAUACCCCGCUGUUCUGACGGUACCCAAAGAAUAAGCACCGGCUAACUUCGUG